UAAGGUGAUGUCUGGAAAAGACAUGAGGUGUCUUGCAACAACACGGUUACCCAUGCUGGACAGUGUCCGAAGAUAAUGCGGAACCCUCAAAAGUCUGGUCACAGAGGAAGUUCAUAAUUAGACCUACCUCACUCAACUAUACACAACAUUGCACGUGUCUAUAAGCUUCAGCUGGUCUGGAAGAUAACAUACAGAUCAUGAAUCAAAAAUACAGAUUGCCUUACAAAUGUUUACCUGCACUGAAAUAACAUACUUUUCUGAUAAAGCAACAUUUUUACAUGUGUGCAACAGUCAACAGACACAAUGGCCAUAUAUGGUGGAAUUAAAAUCAUCAUGAAGUUACUUAACAAAAGUGUGAUUCACCAAAGGUGAGAAUUGGUGUUUGGAGGAACACACUUCUACCCUGAAGAUGGAGGACGUAUGUAAUGUUGGUAACCAUCAACAAGAAGACUACAUGGCGUCACAACCCAGAUGAUCACAUCCUGAAAUCUCGCUACCAUAAACAUUUCAAGUCUCGCAUAGGAAACAUUUAUUUUGGAAUAUGUGAACACUAUCCCCACAUACCCAAGCAUGAUGUUGGCUGAACACCAAAACGAAUAUUACAUGCAGAGGAAAAGUU
Non-coding RNA from Zootermopsis nevadensis, 619 nucleotides. The record is from RefSeq and is a predicted model, not a curated record. NCBI's taxonomy places the organism in Eukaryota, Metazoa, Arthropoda, Insecta, Blattodea, Termopsidae.